RNAcentral lists this transfer RNA (76 nucleotides) under Bacteroidota bacterium. RNAcentral's name for it is "tRNA-Gly". It matches the Rfam family "tRNA". Rfam says of the family: Transfer RNA (tRNA) molecules are approximately 80 nucleotides in length. Their secondary structure includes four short double-helical elements and three loops (D, anti-codon, and T loops). The record is from RNAcentral. Lineage: Bacteria; Pseudomonadati; Bacteroidota. RNAcentral also lists the same sequence under 2 other names.
GCGGGAGUAGCUCAGUUGAUAGAGCAUUAGCCUUCCAAGCUGAGGGUCGCGGGUUUGAGUCCCGUCUCCCGCUCCA